GUAUGAGUAGUGGGGGUGGGGGUGGGAUGUUGCGCCAUAUUGCCCUUUUGCCUCAGGCAGCAAAAUGGCUUGAGCCAACCAGGAAAAUAAAUGAAAGUAAGCUAACAGAUGACUGCUCUUACCUAAAGUGGGUUUGUGGUUUUACCGGCCGAAGCAAGAGAAAAGUAGUCCGCUCCUGCUGAGGGGCAUGGUGUUAAGUUUUGUUAGGAAGACAGAAUGAGGUACAAUAUAAUAUGUGUAUGAAUAGCGUCGUGGUCGCUCGAUGGCACUGGGCUUUAUUUGACUCUGGGUGGAGUCAAGACUUUCCUGUUUCCGCUUUGUUCUUGUUGGAGAGGAAGAAUAAAGUUCUUGUUUAGGUUCUUGGCUGGUAUAUCUUCUAAGUGUUCCCUGUCAGUAAGCUACUUUGAGCAUGCCAAUAUGCCUACCAAACAUUUUAGGCUGUGUUAAUUGAUUUAAGCUGCAAUCCUAUCCAUACUUUGCAGCUCUGCUCCUCUCAUUUUAGGAGUAUGACAUAUUUUGGGGCCUCCUCAAAUUAUAAUGUGACCCAGGGGCCCUAUUCAUUUUUAGUCUCGUUCACAUUCUGCCUCAGGAUGAAACACAUGGAUGGAAAAGAAAUAGAACUAUAAGCCGUUUCCUAUUGGAAGUCUGUAAGGUGAGGAACCUUAGGCCUGGGGAGCAAAUGCAGCCCUAAAGGCCUCUCUAGCAUUCAGGCCAUACCUCUCACUGGUCUUGUUUCAUUCACACUCUCUUUGAAUGUCUUUAUGGGUCUAAUAUAACUCUGAUAAUGCCUCUUGCUUGCUUGGAUGAAAGACAAGAAAGAAAUGUGUGUGUGUGUGUGUGUGUGUGUGUGUGUGUAGAAACUAGUCUACAAAAAUAAAUUCACAUUAAUUGAUCUGCCUACUUCCCUCUGGCCCUGCCCACCACCAGAAUAUGGCCCCUAGAAGGUUUUCUAAAAUGGAAUGCUGUUGUCAAACAGAAAAAGAUCUCCAACCCUGGUUUAGGCCUUAUGCCUUGCUACAAAUGGAGGCAACCUGUGCUCCACAGGGGGGAAAAGAACCUUUAACAGGGACCUAGUGGGUGGCAACACAGGAGAAAACCCAAUCCAUUUCAUUAUGGCUCCAUAUCUAGUAUAUCCCACAUUCUCAAGAUGCUGCAGCUAAAUCUGAGCUAGAAUACUGUCUAUUUAUUGACACAUCAUUUUAAAUAGAUACAAGAGGAUCAGGUUUACUCACCCAUAUCAGGAUGCAAAUUGAAGUAGAGGAACUUAUUAGUACAGGAAAACAUGUUUGAAAUUGCUGACCGAAAACAUUUCCGGUACUGGAUGAGUUGCUUACCUAAGAAGCAGCAGCAGGGGACUGAACCCCUGAGCCAAGUCUGUCACCUUUAGAGACAAUUUUCCACUGCUGCAUCAUGGGGAAGAAAAAGGACCAGAUUUAUGAAGGAUAUGUGUCUGGAAUUUCCUAGAUAAAGCCAGGAUUUGGCCAUCAGAAACAGUGUUUGGGCAAAAUUGCUUAAAUGUACAGGAAAAUCUGGAUGUAGGACAACCCAUGCCAAAAGUGUAGAUUUUGUUGAAUUUCCUUUACAAUAGCUCAAAAUCUUCUUCUUUUUGAGAUUUUGCCCCCCCAAAAAUCUCAACAACUUUUGUUUCCAGAUUCUCACUUUAUGAAAUAUGGCAACCCUAAUAUACAUCCUUUUUUUUUGAAGGUACUAUUUUAACACUUUGCUAAUUGCCGCCUAGGGGUCCUUUGGUAGGAAAAGUGGGAUACACAACUAUUAUCAUUACAGUGGUACCUUGAGUUACAAACGCCUCAGGUUACAAACGCUUCAGAUUACAAACUCCGCUAACCUGGAAGAGUUACCUCAAGCUGAGAACUUCGCCCCAGGAUGAGAAUGGAAAUUGUGUGCCGGCGGCACAGCAGCAGCAAGAGGCCCCAUUAGCGAAAGCAUGCCUCUAGUUAAGAACAGUUUCAGGUUAAGAAUGGACCUCCGGAACGAAUUAAGUUCAUAACUAGAGGUACCACUGUAUUAUUAUUUCACUCCUCCUCCUUAUUUAGGAGUGUGCUCUUAGUGCUUCUUUUUAAUUCUAUUCUCUCUUAGCAGGGCCUGCCCAAGACCUUUUGGCACCUGAGGCAAAGCACAAAAUGGCGCCUCCCUCCCCACCAGGGAAGAACAGGUGAGUGAAUAUCUACAUCAGGUACAAGAAGGGAAUAAAGAUCUGCAUUGGGAUCUGCUGCCCCUGUUCAUCCUGCUGCCUGAGGUGGUUACCUCACCUUGCCUCAUGGGUGGGCCGGCCCUGUCUCUUAGUCAUGAAAGAUGGGGGGGUGGAUUGUGGAAAUAUAUACUAUUAAUUGGUUUAGCACAGAAAGUUGACUGGUGCCUUGAUGACAACUCUGUUGGAAAGUACUGCAAAAGUGUAAUGCAAAACUGAUCGAUAGAUUAAAUGCACCAGAUAUAUUCUGUUUGAGAGGCGGAACAAAAUAAUUUACAGUAAUAAAACAUAAAAACAUUAUUUUUAGCUCCCCAUCUGCCAAGUUGCCCACAAUUAGCAAAUGCAAUAUACUUCCUGGCCUACAGAAUGUUCUUCAGAGCACAUCAAUGAAAGCUGAAACACAUGCUUGGGGAAUACAUCUGCUCUUAAUCUGCAGCAUUCUGAAGUCAACACAAAUAUUUUUGCUAUUUUCCCCUUAACUCUCAACAAUCAGAAAGCCUGUGGCAUGCCACAGCGGAAGAGCUGAAAACCGAAUGAGACUGCAAUUCGAUAUACACUUACCUUGGAGGAAGGUCCAUUGAAUUCAGUGUGUCUUACGGGAAGACAAGCCCAGAGAAGUAGUGUAAACCUGAGAAGCAGGAGAAAGUAACAAAAUGAGACCCAGUUUAAAAAAUAAUGAUAAUUAAAGUAUCAGAUAUCCAUAUAACUCUGUAAUGUUAUAGAAUAAGCAAGACUGAGGCCCCACCUAUACAUUUAAAGCAGAAUCCGAACACUUUAAAUCAGAGCUUUCCAAACUGUGUGUCAUGACACGUUAGUGUGUCAGCUGCAGUGUGUAGGAGUGUCGUGUGAACGCUCCCUGGGUUCGUCCCAGGACUGGAAAGGGGUUUGUUUAACAUCCAGUUUGCUAGUAAAACUGAAUUACUGUGUCGCAGAAUGAUUCAUGUCUAAAAAGUGUGUCACCAACAUGAAAAGUUUAGAAGGCUCUGCUAGUCAUGACUUCCCUAAGGGAUCCUGAAAACUGUAGUUAGUUAAGGGUGCUGAGUGUUUGUAGGAGACCCCUGUUAAUCUUACAGAGCUACAGUUCUCAGAGUCCCCUAGAAAGAGGGGUUGGUGAUUAAACUAUUCUAAAAAUUGUAGCUGUGUCAGACAGUCUCCUAACAACUCUUUGCACACUUCACAAACUAGACUAUGCCAUGACUAUUUUAAACCAUAUGAUAUUGCUUUAAAUGUAUCAAAAAGAUGGGGUCUCAGACAAAGGCAGACCAUUGUAUAGCGGUUAGAUUUCUCAUAUAUAAUUUACUGGAAUUCACUGAGACCUUAUAAAACUAUCAGAGGAAAAACUAUGUAGGAAAAGCCUUCGAACUGUGUAUUCCAACAUUCUUUUCUGAAACAACAAACGGUUUUGCAGUUGAUCUCCUUAAUUAAUUCCAGUAAGAAAAAUUAUGCAUGACAGACUACUUUUUAAUUUUUUUAAAAAAACGAUGAUAAUAAUACGAAUACUAUCUGGGAAUAAUUUGUAAAGUGAAUGUAACUAUGUGGAAGCAAAUGUUGCAAUGUGAGAAAUUGGCUUCCCAUAGAUGACAACAAUGCACAUUUGUUGGUCACAUGGGCUUACAACCACAUUGCAAGAAUGUCUGUAUAUUCCUUCCAAAAUAUGCCUCCCGCUUCAUACUUUCCAAUUAUACUAAUAAAUAGUGUAAUUUAUGAACAUUUCCCCCAAAACAUUUAGUACAGCGGUGUCCAAACUUUUUUCAAAGAGGGCCAGAUUUGAUAAAGUGAAGAGCCAUGAGGGCUGACCAAAGGGCCAACCAAAGUUGUUGACCUUUUUUUACCCCAAAGUUGUUGAGCUUUGGACAUGCCUGAUUUAGUAGAAAGAUUCCUCAUUCUUUGUCAAACAUGCUUCUGGAACUGGAAGGAAAGGGAGAAUAACCAUGGAGGCAAUGUGCAGCAAGAAACAGUGCAGCUGCCAAAUGUUUAAGGCUGUGUACACACCAUGUGCAAAACAAAAAAUAGAAUUAAAAACACUUUUCACUACUCUCUGUGCUAUGAAACUUUAAUAAAACACUGUCAAGUUGUGUACUGCUGCCCCUAACUCCUACAAAUAAAAACAAUGUUGUGGCGCUUUAAGCAUCCCAUUUCGCCAAGCAUGGCUAUCGCACGAGCACCAGUGAGAUACAAGGAGCAUUGCACCCUUUCCACACAUACUCCAUUACCAUUUCUGGAACGCUCAGCACUCUGAAAGUAAUGCUGUAAAAGAGAUCACCAUAAUUCCUGCGAAACGGUGACUGGCUCAAGGCCAUUGAAUGAGCUACCCCCUCUUAAAAAGCAAGGCUAGCUACAACAUUCACACGCAUAUAUUCUGGCCCUUGAGUCCAGUCCAAAAUAUUUAUUCUCUAAGUUAAGAUAAUAAUUACAUCAUUGUUCUAUAGCUGGGUGAGACAUGGGAUACCAUUCUUUCAAAAGUGGAUUGGGGGUGAAAUUAUUUCUAUAUUCGUUAUUGCCCCUUGAAUGAGAAAUGUUAUUUCUGUUUAUUAGCAGUGGAAACAUGAGGUUUUCAGUUACAGUUGCAAUCCAGAGAUAUCUGAGCUGAUAACUUUUUACUUUUUUUUAAUAAAAGGGUUUAAGUUAUCACAAAGUCUUGUUAUUUGAUUUCUACAAGACUUGGAAGUUUUGCUCCCCGCUGUGUUUGAAGCCCUCAGGUACUGCUCUGUUUUGCAGCAGAAACGUCAGAGAGAAUAUAUUCAGUCAGCCGCUGUAGACUGAAUUUCAUUUUGCUCUCCGAAUGAAUAAAGGCAAAAAGUGCAACGUCCGCUGGGUCAUACACUCUGAAAUGUGAG
Non-coding RNA from Podarcis lilfordi (Lilford's wall lizard), 5046 nucleotides. The record is from the annotation of a GenBank genome assembly. NCBI's taxonomy places the organism in Eukaryota, Metazoa, Chordata, Lepidosauria, Squamata, Lacertidae.